AAAAGGAGACGGACCAGUUCCUCCUUCCACUUCCUCCCGUCGUCUGUUCGAGAUGGCGGCGGAAGAUCCACGAGCUCCCCGCUGCACAGGUGGUGGACGAGCGGGGCGAUCUCCACACAAGAUGUUCAAGGCUCUUCAAAGAUGAAGAACAAGGAUGAUGGACUCUGACAGGUGUCUUCACUGUUGCUGAACUCCAGAGCAGCCAGACUUCCCUCUGAGGUGGGAGUUUGAUGGGCAGUCUGAAGGAUGACACAUGGAGCUAUAAACACAACUGCUGAAUGGAUACUUGGAGAGGAAGCAACCAUUGAAGUCUGAUGGUGACUGACCGCUUCAGCAGCACGCUCGUGGUCUUACUGAAGGUACUUUCCUCUGGACAUCUGGGAGACACUUGACUCUUCUCACCAUCAGAGGUGUUUUCCCAGUUUGACAUCAAGGCUGAGCUGGGAUGAGGUCAUCUGUGUUGCCUGUGCUUGUUCAUGGAGGUUUGGUGACACCAUCUGACUCUUGAAGGCACCGACACCUGGUGGGACUACUACAGUGUAAAUGUCUGGCAGCAUGGGAUGUCACAUGGUCUUGCGUGCAAAGCUCCUGCCUGUGUUGGUUCAGUGAUGCUAUCUGAAGCUGCCUCCUCAGACUGCUGCAGGUCUGGCAGCUCGAAGUCAUCACAUGGUCUUUAUCUUGUGCUCAGUUUCAACAUGUCUCUUCAGAGUCCAGCUGGAUCUGCCUGCAGAGCUGCCUGCUGCUUUGAGUGCUUGACUGUCGACUGAAGAUCCAUCGGCCAUCUUAUGCUGCAGCACGAUUUCUGCAGUUUGUCUAAAGAUCAAGUGGUGAUUCAAAAUGUCAACAUACUCAUGGCCACUUGAUUUGCAAGGAACGGACAACUACACGCUACAUCAGCCCGCUAACUGAGCACCAGGACUGCUGUGAAUUCUUAAAUUAACCUUUUGUAAUGGCCUUUAUUUCAAAUAAAGUGUAGCUUCAAGUACA
Long non-coding RNA from Morone saxatilis (striped sea-bass), 987 nucleotides. RefSeq lists it as uncharacterized. NCBI's taxonomy places the organism in Eukaryota, Metazoa, Chordata, Actinopteri, Moronidae. The record is from RefSeq and is a predicted model, not a curated record. The transcript has 16 exons.